GAUGAACGCUGGCGGCGUGCUUAACACAUGCAAGUCGAACGGAAAGGCCCAAGCUUGCUUGGGUACUCGAGUGGCGAACGGGUGAGUAACACGUGGGUGAUCUGCCCUGCACUUCGGGAUAAGCCUGGGAAACUGGGUCUAAUACCGGAUAGGACCACUUCUUGGAUGUUGUGGUGGAAAGUUUUUUCGGUGUGGGAUGAGCUCGCGGCCUAUCAGCUUGUUGGUGGGGUAAUGGCCUACCAAGGCGUCGACGGGUAGCCGGCCUGAGAGGGUGUACGGCCACAUUGGGACUGAGAUACGGCCCAGACUCCGACGGGAGGCAGCAGUGGGGAAUAUUGCACAAUGGGCGCAAGCCUGAUGCAGCGACGCCGCGUGGGGGAUGACGGCCUUCGGGUUGUAAACUCCUUUCGCUAGGGACGAAGCGUUUUUGUGACGGUACCUGGAGAAGAAGCACCGGCUAACUACGUG
This 468-nucleotide ribosomal RNA is filed under the name uncultured bacterium. RNAcentral describes it as "partial 16S ribosomal RNA". It matches the Rfam family "Bacterial small subunit ribosomal RNA", at positions 28 to 507 of the family's 1533-position model. The record is from RNAcentral.